UGAAUACGAGAUGCUACGGCGUCGAAGCAGUCUAUGUCAUACUUCCAAGAAAAGCUUGCACUGUCAUAAACAAAUAAUGCCUGUACCAUAACCGACACAGGUGGGUAGGUAGAGUAUACUAAGGGGCGCGAGAUAACUCUCUCUAAGGAACUCGGCAAAAUGACUCCGUAACUUCGGGAGAAGGAGUGCCUUAUUUAUAAGGUUGCAAUAACAAGAUCCAAGCAACUGUUUACCAAAAACACAGGUCUCCGCUAAGUCGUAAGACGAUGUAUGGGGGCUGACGCCUGCCCAGUGCCAGAAGGUUAAAGAAGUUGGUUAGCAUCCGCGAAGCUGAUAACUGAAGCCCUGGUGAACGGCGGCCGUAACGAUAACGGUCCUAAGGUAGCGAAAUUCCUUGUCGGGUAAGUUCCGACCCGCACGAAAGGCGUAAUGAUUUGGAUACUGUCUCGGAGAGGGGCUCGGUGAAAUAGACUUGUCUGUGAAGAUGCGGACUACCUGCACCAGGACAGAAAGACCCUAUGAAGCUUUACUGUAACCUGAAAUUGAAAUUGGACUUUACUUGCGCAGUAUAGGUGGGAGGCGUUGAGAAUAUUCUUGCGGGAUUAUUGGAGCCAUCAGUGAGAUACCACUCUUGUAAUGUUAGAUUUCUAACUUUGUAUCAUUAUCUGGUCAAAGAACAGUUUCAGGCGGGCAGUUUGACUGGGGCGGUCGCCUCCUAAACGGUAACGGAGGCGCACAAAGGUUUCCUCUGAACGGGUAGAAAUCGUAUCUAGAGUGUAAAGGCAUAAGGAAGCUUGACUGUGAGACCUACAAGUCGAGCAGGGACGAAAGUCGGUCUUAGUGAUCUGACGGUGCUGAGUGGAAAGGCCGUCACUCAACGGAUAAAAGUUACUCUAAGGAUAACAGGCUGAUCUCCCCCAAGAGUUCACAUCGACGGGGAGGUUUGGCACCUCGAUGUCGGCUCAUCGCAUCCUGGGGCGGUAGUACGCCCCAAGGGUUGGGCUGUUCGCCCAUGAAAGCGGUACGCGAGCUGGGUUCAGAACGUCGUGAGACAGUUCGGUCCAUAUCCGGUGUAGGCGUUAGAAUAUUGAGAGGAGCCUUCUUUAGUACGAGAGGACCGAGAAGGACAUACCUCUGGUGUACCAGUUAUCGUGCCAACGGUAAACGCUGGGUAGCUAUGUGUGGAGUGGAUAACCGCUGAAAGCAUCUAAGUGGGAAGCCCACCUCAAGAUAAGUAUUCUC
RNAcentral lists this ribosomal RNA (1242 nucleotides) under metagenome. Its description in RNAcentral is "bacterial LSU rRNA". It matches the Rfam family "Bacterial large subunit ribosomal RNA", at positions 1564 to 2815 of the family's 2925-position model. The record is from RNAcentral.